Heligmosomoides polygyrus is the source of this 72-nucleotide non-coding RNA. The record is from Rfam. Lineage: Eukaryota; Metazoa; Nematoda; Chromadorea; Rhabditida; Heligmosomidae.
GCGCCGGUGAUGUAAGGCGUAGCAUCGCAGCCCGGAAAGCAGAAGAUGCGUGUUCGAGUCCCGCCUGGCGCA